UACGUAGGGGUGCGAGCGUUAAUCGGAAUUACUGGGCGUAAAGCGUGCGCAGGCGGUUUGCUAAGACAGGUGUGAAAUCCCCGGGCUUAACCUGGGAACUGCGCUUGUGACUGGCAGGCUAGAGUACGGUAGAGGGGGGUGGAAUUCCUGGUGUAGCAGUGAAAUGCGUAGAUAUCAGGAGGAACACCGAUGGCGAAGGCAGCCCCCUGGGCCUGUACUGACGCUCAUGCACGAAAGCGUGGGGAGCAAACAGGAUUAGAUACCCCGGGGUA
Molecule: ribosomal RNA, 272 nt
Filed under: uncultured prokaryote
Description: partial 16S ribosomal RNA
Rfam family: Bacterial small subunit ribosomal RNA
Source: RNAcentral